CUCAGGUGCGAAAGCGUGGGGAGCUAACAGGAUUAGAUACCCUGGUAGUCCACGCUGUAAACGAUGUCGAUUUGGAGGUUGUGCCCUUGAGGCGUGGCUUCCGGAGCUAACGCGUUAAAUCGACCGCCUGGGGAGUACGGCCGCAAGGUUAAAACUCAAAUGAAUUGACGGGGGCCCGCACAAGCGGUGGAGCAUGUGGUUUAAUUCGAUGCAACGCGAAGAACCUUACCUACUCUUGACAUCCAGAGAACUUAGCAGAGAUGCUUUGGUGCCUUCGGGAACUCUGAGACAGGUGCUGCAUGGCUGUCGUCAGCUCGUGUUGUGAAAUGUUGGGUUAAGUCCCGCAACGAGCGCAACCCUUAUCCUUUGUUGCCAGCGGUUCGGCCGGGAACUCAAAGGAGACUGCCAGUGAUAAACUGGAGGAAGGUGGGGAUGACGUCAAGUCAUCAUGGCCCUUACGAGUAGGGCUACACACGUGCUACAAUGGCAUAUACAAAGAGAAGCGACCUCGCGAGAGCAAGCGGACCUCAUAAAGUAUGUCGUAGUCCGGAUUGGAGUCUGCAACUCGACUCCAUGAAGUCGGAAUCGCUAGUAAUCGUAGAUCAGAAUGCUACGGUGAAUACGUUCCCGGGCCUUGUACACACCGCCC
This 649-nucleotide ribosomal RNA is filed under the name uncultured bacterium. RNAcentral's name for it is "bacterial SSU rRNA". It matches the Rfam family "Bacterial small subunit ribosomal RNA", at positions 746 to 1395 of the family's 1533-position model. The record is from RNAcentral.